Non-coding RNA from Zonotrichia albicollis (white-throated sparrow), 10148 nucleotides. The record is from RefSeq and is a predicted model, not a curated record. Lineage: Eukaryota; Metazoa; Chordata; Aves; Passeriformes; Passerellidae.
CUGCAGAAGAAAAUUCCAAAGGGACAAGAGAAGUGCAAAGUGAAGAUAGCAACAAAGACUCCCCAGACUAUUUGCAGGACACUACAGCUAUGCCUCACAGACAGCACAGAGGUUGAAUACAAAGUCUUGAACAUAACAGGUUGGGCUUUCAGUAGCAGAAGACCUUCUCAGACCUCCUGGGACUCCAGGUUCAUAAAGGUAGAAGAUGAAGUCCAAAGUGUAGUUGUCAAUGCUGUGCAAGAGUUGAGUACUGAAAAGCAGUGGAAGACUGAUAUAACAAAUAAAGAAAAUAUGAUGGAAGCUACAAGAAAGCCAAAGAUGUAUGAAAGCUCUGAAGCUCUGCAGCGGAGGCUCUCCACCUAGCAGUGAGUGGUGUUCCUGCAGAAGCAGCUGGCACAGAGAAGACAGAGACCAUGGAAGAUUUAGGUUGUGCCCUUGGUACGAUGGUGAGAAUUUUCAACUACUCAGAAUAUGCACAUCAUUCAGGAUGAUGAGAUUUGUAUUUUUGGUGAAAAUGCGACACUGAAAUCCAGAGUUGGAAUAUUUUUAUUACUAUGAUCCCUGGAUGUGCAGAACCUGUGCCAUGGUCAUCCCUGACAUUGAACUGGUCUCUGAAAUGAUGUUGGCUGCUGAAGGGUUUAUUGAUGCCUGUCUGUUAGCCAGGAAGUUCAUCACCUUCCAACCUCUCUGCAGGGAGCUGCUCCCAGAACAGGUGUGGCUGCAGAAUAUGUUUUCAAACCUUACUCAGCUGGCAGCCAGUUAAGAAUAGGGAAUCAAAUGGUGGAAUACUGAAAAUUAAGCAGAUAUACAGGCGUGAUCAGUGACCUGUUUCCAUCUCUGGAUGUUCUGAGGAUGGGGAACCUACAGUCUGAGCAGAUGGUUAAACGAUCUACCCUGGAGCUGUACUUGCAGCCAGAAGAGAACUUUAUUCUAAAAGUAAACAAAUUCAUUGUCGUUAAUCAUUCCCCUUAAGAUUUUUUAUCAAAAUAAUUGCCAAUGAGUUGUUUGUAUUAGACACAAAGAUUAUUUUUGAAUAUGUUAAAACAUUGAUAAAGUGUCUCUCAAUGACUCAGUAUUUCAAAGGCAUUUCAUCAUGGCAGUAAUAUUCCUCAGUAUGAUAAAUAUGUCCAUUAGGAAACAUGUGUCCUGUUUGGAAAAGCUGUGUACAGUGACAAUCUAGAGUGACAAAAACGUUUGUUUGUGCAUGCUAAGAAGAACUUGUAUUUUGUAGUAAAUUCGUUUUUGGUCAGAUAUUUACAGUGAGGUAAGACUAAGGGAACAAAAACGCAUAAAUAAGAAGGUGUGGAUUGGGAAUGUGCAUGGAUACAUAUGACUUUUUGCUCUGGCUUUUAGGUAUAGUAUAGUCCAUGUUGUGCUAUACACAUUAAAUACAUGCAGGUACAUAUAUGCAUGCAUGUAUACUCACAAUAAUUAAUUUCCCAUAAUCUAAAUUUAGGCACUAAUUUAUUUUAAUUACGGACAGAGUGAAAAGGUGAAACAUAAAAACACUGGUUAGUACACAGACCAAAUAAAAAGUGUAUUUAUUCCCACCUUUUUUCAAGGAACUUUCACAUCUGCUGUACGUUCGUCCAAGGCAGCACAUCCUUAUCUUUAUUGGAGUAUAUUGGAAAUAACCAAGCUAGUUGAAUGUUACUGAUCAGAGGAUUUAUACAGGAUUUUCUACUCUUCUCUCCUAUUCCAUUAUCCUGACAGAAGGGUGAAAAACAGUAAGGUAUGCCUUGAGGUAUUAUGAACUCACAAUCAGCCUUCUAACAGAGUAUUUGUUUUACUGCUAACUGAGUAAAUCAGAAGACAAGCACUGAGGAUCAUGAACUUGUUCCUGUUAGACUUUGGAAAAUCACAAUGAAUACUCUUCACUAAAACAGAAAUCCACAAGCAGCCAAGCUAUUUCUAUUCUGUGACUUAUACAACUAUUUCUUUGGAAGCAAUGUAUUGCUUUAGGAGAUUGAUUUUGUAUUUUUCUGAAUUCCAGCUGUACAACUGAUUGCAGAAUCCACUCUGCCAAAGCAGUGGCAAAAUUGUGGUAACUGUUCUGUGUCCUUGGGUUUCCACAGUCCUGCUGGACUGUGUGGCUGUCUGGCAGAAUAGGAUUUGUUCUCACUUGCUGAGGUAACUGCUUUGAUUCCUUUGCACUACCUCUUACCAUUUUCUGAGAGACCGUGUUGCUUGAUGCAACAUUAGCUUUGCUGAGGCAAAUCUGCCAAGAAAGUGCAAGGUUUUUUUUCCUAUUAAAGGGAAUAAGAAUGCAGAGAGGGAAAAAAUCUUGUGAAUGAUUGUGUCUCUGUGAUAAGAACCACAGCAGGAGAGGAGAGGUGCUCACUGUGUGUCCUUUCUGUGUGUAAGGAUGUUCAGCUGGAGGAGCAGCCAGCAGUGUGUCACUCUGUGUUUGUUGGUGGAAUUGCAGGGAAUGGGAAGGGUAAGGUACCUGCCUGCCUAUGCAGCAUGUUUUCCAUCUCACCUUGUAAAGAAACUGCCACGGCUCUUGCACAAAAUAUUCUUCAUGUUGCCUUUGCCUGAGGCUGCAGGGUAAUAACAUACUGCUGAGGCCACUCGGUCAGCUGCAUGAUGAGCAAUAGAAAGUGCAAAUGUUGCAAGCAAAUUCUACAUUUUAUGUGCUGUUUGCAUGUCCCAAAGGACAGUUAAUCAUGGCAUGAAGUAAUGAACAUUCAAUUUGACAGAUAGACUAAGUAAUACUUUGUUCUGGAAGGAGAAGCAGGAUGUUUUAAUUAGACUCGUAGACAGACAUCAUGGAAUGUCCUGCCAAAACACUAGACAAAUAAUUCUAAUACAUAAUGCUUGCUUAUUUAUGCUACUAAAUGUUGGCAGCUGCAUAGAUUUUCUUCUCCAUUUAACACUUUCCAUUAGAAUUGAGUGCAGAAUAUGGGUAUUUCAGACUGGGAAUCUCCUUUUCUAUCCUUAGGCUUAAUGGAAAUUUGAGGCUAAACUAGCACAGAGACAAGAGUAAAUUCAUGUAAACUGUUGGCUGAGUACAGGGUUUCAGUCCAAGCUCCAGUUCAGAAAAAAGUGAACAAUUCCUACUAUGUGAAAAUGAUGCUACUAACAUUCACCCUGCUCCUUCCCUUCAGGUCCUGAAAGUUCUUCAUCACAUGUAUGCGAACACAAAUUCCCAUUUGGAAUUGACUUUUAAUGCAUAAGUUCUGACAGCUGAUGAACUGUGUGGUUUCAUACACCAGGAAACCUGAGAGUGGAAGGAUGGCAAGGAACACAUGUGUUCUUGCCAGGAUGUCAUUCUCCAUCCAAAAUGGACAAUACCAGAAUUCAGAGAAAAUAUAAGAGAUAGAAUUCUUCCAUUUUUCAGAGGUUUUGAUACAGCGGGACGUGGGUGCAGAGCACUGGUGGUUCUGGAAAGGCUGUAGGGCAGGGCAGGAUGCUGGUAGACAGAAGGUAUUAGCCUGCACAGUUCUAAUCCAGCUGCCUUGAGGGGCCUGUUAUUUUCACCCCAGACCCACAGCAUCUCCCUUAUAUCUCCUGUAUCAUGGAGACUAAUGACCAACUCUCCUGUAAUCAAAACAGAUCAUUAUUACAUAAAAUGCAGUCAUUUUGUUGUAUUGAGUGUUCACUGAAUUUUUUGUUAUUUUAAAUAACUACCUAAUAAAAAAGCAAAGGAAGCAAACAUGGGUUUGAUGUUCCAAAAGCUUCUUGUUUCAGUGGUGUUAUCUUCUGAAGUUUUAAUUGCAGUACAAUGUUGUUGUUUGAGGACUUAAGGGAUAAGAUUCGAUUGAAAUAUAAUUUGCAGUUCUCCUGUCAUCUUCUCUGAGAGGACAAGCCAAUAUUACCCAUGAGGGGUAAAAAAGGUUUGUUUUAAAUAGGGAUACAGCUCCUAUGUAGACUGAGUCACUCAACACUGUUAUGGGUGCUAACAAGGUGAGUCAUUGAGACACAAUUACAGUGGAUUUCCCUUUACCUGUUUUCCCAUUUGCUUCUUCCUCUAUUUUUCUGGAGACAGUUUUGCACUGUGCAUGCCUUUUUCUUUUAUUCUUAUAAUUUCUUUGAUUUUCACUAUUGCUAAGUAAUAUUUAAUGCCUAAUUUACACUUUACAUCUUGCCUAUUUGGCAUAGAAAAGAGCCUUAAAUUAGCCUAUGAAUACUGUAAUGAUGAUUGUGCCUCCUAGAUGUGAGCUGAUGUAACUCCAGAAAUCAAUGAUGAGAUUACUGAAACUGGUAUUUGGAAAGUCUCUCAGUAAAAUAGCUUUAAGAUUCCAUUAUUGAAGUCCUUGCAUCACUGUACUAUGGUAAUGCCUUAAGUUUAGCUUUUAUAUUUUUCAGAUUCUGUGCUGUUUUAUUGUGUGGUUCUGAGCUUCAUAUUAAGUGAUGGUAAGCUUUCUUCACAGAGUAGCUAGACAAAACAAUUCCUUUUCUAGCCUGAGACCAAGGACAAUCAAUACAAAUUUCAGGACCAAGAGCACAAACAAUGGUGGAAUGAAGAGAGAAAAACAAGAAGGAUGGGACUCCAUAACCUAAAGUUAUAAUUAAACAAUUAAUUCCAAUAUGCUAAUGGACCAAAACCUUUAGAAAUGUGACACCCCAUGACCAGUUGUCCAUUUGUGACCAUUUUGGGUCCAUCUUGGGUGUAGGCCUGGCUGGGCUCUUGUACCACCCGAGAUGUGUCCAUUGAGGCCUUUUAAUAAAUGCCUACUUUAUUCUUAAACUCUAUCUGGUCUCUGUUCUAGGUCAGUCUUCUCAAGGCAUUGAUGGGAGGUUAGUGUAGGAAAUCUAAAUCAGUCAGUCUAAGCACAGUAGGAUACAGCCUUCUUUCCUUCUUAUUAGUUAUACAGCUAAACCAGUUUUGUGGGCUCUCUGAAAUGCUGGAAUGUAAUGAAAUACAAAUCUAAUAUCUGAAUGUAAUCUUUGGAAAGUGAUGGGAGUUUUAUGCUUUCCUGUCUUAGAAACUUAAACCGUAGUAAUCCUCUGGUUACUCAGCAAGGUGCCUGGAGGGUUGAGCCAUAUAAUCUAACUUUUUUUGAGAAAUAGGAAGUGGCUUUUUCAAGAAACAUUUUGGAGUCUAACCUAAAUUUAGACUCCUGCUCUGAAUUAUCUUCUGAUUAUUUUCAUUGACCUUGAGAGAGGUUUUCCCCUCCUCUGCAUUUGUCUGCUUUCAGGAGAGCUCUCAUUGGCAAAGCAGGCUAGUCAUCUUUUAAAUUAAUUAAACUCUAAUAAACUCAUGCAAGGUCAAGUUAAACAUUUUGAAAUUGUCACCCUCUGUGAUUCUGGUAAAAAAACUAAGGCAUGUUUAAACAGAGUUUGUCUAGGUUGUUCAAGGAGCAGUAUAUGCAUUGUGUUGCAGAUAAUCCUCUGUGGCACUGUAAUAAACAUGAUUGAUCAUGUUCUUGUUAAACAACAUAUCUUAACUUUCUUUCCCUGAAAUGUUUACUGAUAAUUUCUAGGUUGUGACCCUGACAGAGUCAUAGGCACACAUUCAUUGCUUGUAAAUUCGGCUGCUGUUUGAGGUACAAGUUUAAGAGCUGCUGCCCCAGCUACAAUAUCCAGAGCUGGUAUUCAUCACCAGAAACCCCAGCGCCUGGAGUAGAACGUCCAAUCUACAUCGCUGCUAAUGGAUUACAUUUUCACCAGGUUUAAAAAAACAUCAGACAAAAUCCACAGAAACUUUAUGAUGCUGCUUCCAAUGAACAGUCUUUUUCUGCCAUGAGAAUAAAAGCAUGGAAGAUGACCACUGAAAGUAAUUCAGUUGAUUUGGGAAAUUAAGGUCAUACUUCAUCCCAUGAAGGAUUGACACCAGGCAUCAGCUAAAUAUCUUGUUAAGGAACAAGCUGUAAAGAUUUAAAAAAAGUGCCUUCCUUUUAAUUCAUCUGGACCGACCUGCGUCAUCCGGAGAGCCAGAAAGAGUAUUGGAUAAUGCAGUAAAGAGAGAAGCAUGCCCCCUCAUACUCCAUGAUGAUAUUUUCUGCGAUGUUUUGCAGUAUUUGCCUCCAACUUUCUUUCUUCACGUUCCCUGAUUACCAUCUACAGAAAGAUAGCUGGCUUCCACUUCCAGCAACAAGCUUUUGUUCCAUCAAUAAUCAAGAAGAUUUGAACCACAGUACAAGCAGACAUAUAUCUUCAACAGGCAAAGAUUCAAAACUUCCCAGCAACUGAUAUGAGGUUCCACUGCAUCCUAAAUAUGCGAGACCUCUCCAAUGGCUUUCAGGUAGAUCUUGCCAAGACGGGUGCCAAGAACAUGCCCACAGUGUUUUUGCUGACAGAUGCCCAAGUUCCAGAUGAAUGCUUUCUUGUGCUGAUUAAUGACUUGUUGGCAUCAGGAGAGGCUCCAGAUCUGUUCUGCGAUGAAGACAUGAAUGUCACAACUGCAGCAGUUAGAAAAGAAGUCUGAGCCCUGGGCCUGAUGGACAUCAGCAAACACUCCUGGAGGUGAUUCCCGAGGCUGUGGCUGCAACAGAAACCACUCAUCCAGAACUCCACGGUUUAUGGGGAUUUUAUGGCUUCUGCCUGCACCAGUGUGAAUGUCCUGAGUGCCAAGUACAAUAGGCAGUACAACUGCACCACUCCAAAUAGUUUUCUGGAGUAAAUCAUGCUUUAUAAUGUCCUCCUGGACAAAAUACAAAACAAGAGGCUGUCAUGACACAUGGAACACUUGGUAAAGGCAUGCAGAAGCUUUCUUCAGAAAGAGGGAAGCCAGCAGCUUUCCAGCAAGGCUCUGCUGGAGUUAUGUGCUCAGAGUGAAUACCAAGCACUUUUCAGGGCAUCCCUCUGCCCUUGCACUGGCGCCUUUGCCGAGGGCAGCAGCUGCGCCUCUUUUGCACCGCUGCAAUAUCUGACUGCAGCCCCAGCCUCAGCAGCAGGACAGACAUCUGAGCAUCCCAGGUAGAAGAUCUAAAAUCCAAACUUGCUACUCAAGAGGCAGAACUGCAACUGAAAAAUCAAGGUACUGAAGCUUUGAUUGCUAAGAUAGGGUGUCAGACUGAGAAACUGAGCCAAGAAAAGGCCAUUGCAGAUGCAGAGGAGCUAAAGGUUUAAGCAAGACCUGACAGGAAAUGAGUCUGUGAGAUGAGCAUGAGGUACAAGGAUAAGGAUGAACCAAGUAUAACUGACUUCAGCCUCAGGCAAUGUAUCUUUAAAAGUGUGCAUGGUUGAAUUUAGGGGGAGAAGAUUUGACCCUGCAUCACUCUUUUCUGUGUACCUUUGGGGACAAACUCAAGCCAGCCUGAGAACCACUGGGAUUUAUUGAAUGCAGAACCAGGAGAAAACGAAAGAGAGAACAUUCCAUUACAUUUAUGCAAUUUCCCCCUAAUUUCCCAAGCAAGACAUAAAUCACAGAUUGUAUUUGUUACAGUGAAUACUUCUGUAUUUUGGGGAAAAUAUUUUUGCCUUGUACUGAACAACAUUUCUAAAUCAAUUAGCGAGUGCAAGGUUCCAGUUUUACCUUUGAAGUGAAAGUAGGAUUUAGCUUCUGCUUCUCACAAAAAUUGCACAUUAUAUACACUAUAACUUCUCAUAGGUUGAUGACUCUUGGCAAGAUUUAAUCAACUAUGAUAAGGAACAUAUUUUUCAGCAUUGUCUGAAGGUCGCCAGGUAACAUUACUUGAAGGAUCCACAUUUCAAACUAAAUUAUGUUCAUACAGAAUCCUUUGCAGCAGGUGGUCUCUGUUCCUGGGCCAUCAAUAGAGUAAAAAUCAGUGAGGUAUGUAUAUAUCAGCUCUUGAACUAGCCCUAGUGGGGGAAUUUCAAUAAUGAUUUUUUUUUUAUUAUUUUAUUAGGCUCAGCUUAAUGUUUUGGGGAGCUUGUAACAACCACCAGAGACCAAGUGGGAAGUGUUCAGUACUUGGCAGUAUGUAUGCAUGUAUUUCCUUUUAUUAGGAAGUGGUAAAAAAGAUGUAGCUGUCCAGGAUUUUUCAGCUGUCAUUACGAUGCAACAGUUGGAAAAUAUUCUCCAGAUGUACAUGUUUCACUUGAAACAUCCAUCCUGGCUCUGGCUGUCUGGAGUAUGAGACAGGGCUUAUCACUUGUGAUUCCCUGGAGCACCUGGCAGCAGGAUUUCUCCAUUCAUCCUAGCAUUAUAGCAUGCUCAUUUAAUUACUGAACAGUAAAGAACUUAUCAAUUGUAGAUGAAAUCUACUCAAGUGUAAUGACUGUCUCAUUUCCACCUGUAUUCUAAAAUCAUGAAAGUGAUACCUAUAACUUAAUUCUAGUUGGAGAGUAGACCCACUAAGAUGGCAUUUAGUUUGCUAAAAGUGUUCUUCUAUAGAUUAUCAUAAAAUCUUCUGUAGUCAGUAAUGAAAGAAAUCUUUGCCUGCCUCACUGUUGUGUAGAAAAAUGGGUCUAAAACAAAGAUAUGUAAUGAAAGACUACUGGGAUUAUCUUAAAGUCUUUCAUCAGGAAUAGUUUGUAAUUUUUGUGAUAAAAUGGGACCAAUUUCUUCUCUAAUGUACUAAUGUGAUAUGUCUUUUUCAAGGUGUAUUGUGAGAGAGAACCAAAAUAUUGUGCAGUGGCUCAGGCUAACACUGAAUUAGCAGCAGCUGUAGAAAAACUAGAAGUCAUCAGGGAAAAGCUUCUUGUAAAUAUGGCUUGAUUAAUAAACAUUCUAUAACACCUCGAGCCCCCUUAAUUUCAUUAACUUUUAUUUAUUUAUUUUAAUGUGUUUUAUUUUUAUUGAUUUUAUUACUACCUCGUUCAAAUAUCAAAGGCAUGCUCUCAUUAGGGAUUAUCACUAUUUUCCCCAGAAAUGUACUGAAGACCAUUGUGCAGCUUGGGUGGCAGCCCAUGAAGCUUUUUACCCAAAAUGACUGAAUUUCCUCAAAGCCAUCUAGGCACAUUAUAACUAAUAAUUGGAAUGGUGGUUGAUAAAAGUAACUGACUGUGAGUUUUCCAAGGAAUAUAUGCCAAAUUUUUACACCAGUAAUGACCUACUGCAGUAUAGCAAUAACAUCCAGAAAAGGGCUUUAGAAGCUCAAGCUCAUUUGCGUUAACAUUUGUCAUUAAACAUACGAUAAAAGCAGCAUCAAAUCUCCUCUGAUUUUCUGAAAGACCCACAAACAUGGGUACACGUGUGCUCACAUGCACAUAGAAGAGGAAACUUUGUUUAUUCUUUUACUGACAAGUGUCUUGUGAGUUAAUGAUGUAAUUGAGGACCCCACUUGUCAUCAAGUAUCUAUUGAACUUUUGAGAGGGAUUAUUUGUUGUGUAAGUAUGCAUUUAAUGGAGCAACUGCAGCACAAAGCACUCUUGAUACAAAGACAUCUCAUGGUAUCUUGGGAGAUGGUGGGUGGUAGGAGUUUCUGCUGCAAGCUAAUCAACCUUACUAAGCAAAGAAAUCUUCAAAUGCUUUGAAAGCUGUGACACUAAUUAGGUUUAAAAGACUUUGACUUUGCCUCAGACCUUUUUGUUGGUAAUAUUUAGAUCUGUAACCUCCCAAUUUAAGAUAUCAAGCAAUAAAGGCUGAACAAAUCUGUAAUGUGGCAUUUAUUCUCAUUGCUUUCUCUUGAACUGGCAUUUUAAAAGAAUGACAACAUUCACUUUUAUGGAAAUUCUUGCAAGCCCGUGAGUUAUGGUAUUUUAUAAUUUAAUUCUUUAUUUCAGGAAUUUCCUGGUUUUCUUCCUGCUAUUUUAAUAUCAAUUUUUUUUCUUGUUGUAAAGGAGAUACAGUUUUAAUGGCUAAACAAAGACAGAUUAUACCAUCUGGCUUUAUCUUCUGAUCCCUCUGACCCCCACCCAAAAAAUCCCAUCAGCUGUUACAGCAGGUAUUUUUCUUCCAUGUGAAACAGCCUUAGCCUUAUGACCUUGGAGUUGCCCGUUUACAUCAAAAUCUACCCUAAUGAAGCCUCUGUCUGCACUAAAAGACAGUUUUAUGGAAGCAUCAUGCUUUUUAUUUCACACAUCUAUACUGAUAUGGGUCCACUAAGUACAAACACUUUUGGACAAAAAUAGCCUUCUAGUGUUGUUUUGGGGAGAUUUUAUAUUUUUUGCCUUUUUUUAAUACACAGCAGUCACCCCUGAAACUCUUAGAAUCUUUUAUUGUUUUAAUGUGCUCCUCUGAAAAAAACACUAAUACAUCUCUUUUCCUUGCCUGACAGUAUCUCAAAUAACCUUUUCCUGGUUUAGGUGACCUUGCAAUCAAUCAUCUUCCAAAUCCAAAUCUUUUUUUGCAAUUUUUA